AGUGAACGCUGGCGGCGUGCUUAACACAUGCAAGUCGAACGAGAACGGAUUAUAGCUUGCUAUAAUUGUCAGCUAAGUGGCGCACGGGUGAGUAAUGUAUAGGUAAUAUGCCUCUUACUAAGGGAUAACAAAUGGAAACGUUUGCUAAUACCUUAUACUUCUUAUUAACAGAAGUUAAUAAGGGAAAGAUUUAUUGGUAAGAGAUUAGCCUGUAUUGUAUCAGUUAGUUGGUGGGGUAAUGGCUUACCAAGACUAUGACACAUAACUGGUUUGAGAGGAUGAUCAGCCAGACUGGGACUGAGAACGGCCCAGACUCCUACGGGAGGCAGCAGUAGGGAAUUUUCCACAAUGGGCGAAAGCCUGAUGGAGCAACGCCGCGUGCAGGAUGAAGGCCUUCGGGUUGUAAACUGCUUUUCUCUGUGACGAAUAUGACGGUAACAGAGGAAUAAGGAUCGGCUAAUUCCGUGCCAGCCGCCGCGGUAA
Molecule: ribosomal RNA, 483 nt
Filed under: uncultured bacterium
Lineage: Bacteria
Description: partial 16S ribosomal RNA
Rfam family: Bacterial small subunit ribosomal RNA
Source: RNAcentral